RNAcentral lists this ribosomal RNA (1418 nucleotides) under Micrococcus luteus. Its description in RNAcentral is "bacterial SSU rRNA". It matches the Rfam family "Bacterial small subunit ribosomal RNA". The record is from RNAcentral. Lineage: Bacteria; Bacillati; Actinomycetota; Actinomycetes; Micrococcales; Micrococcaceae.
GGCUCAAGAUGAACGCUGGCCGCGUGCUUAACACAUGCAAGUCGAUCGAUGAAGCCCAGCUUGCUGGGUGGAUUAGUGGCGAACGGGUGAGUAACACGUGAGUAACCUGCCCUUAACUCUGCGAUAAGCCUGGGACACUGGGUCUAAUACCGGAUAGGAGCGUCCACCGCAUGGUGGGUGUACGAAAGAUUUAUCGGUUUUGGAUGGACUCGCGGCCUAUCAGCUGGUUGGUGAGGUAAUGGCUCACCAAGGCGACGACGUGUAGCCGGCCUGAGAGGGUGACCGGCCACACUGGGACUGAGACACGGCUCAGACUCCUACGGGAGGCAGCAGUGGGGAAUAUUGCACAAUGGGCGAAAGCCUGAUGCAGCGACGCCGCGUGAGGGAUGACGGCCUUCGGGUAGUAAACCUCUUUCAGUAGGGAAGAAGCGAAAGUGACUGUACCUGCAGAAGAGGCACCGGCUAACUACGUGCCAGUAGCCGCGGUAAUACGUAGGGUGCGAGCGUUAUCCGGAAUUAUUGGGCGUACCGAGCUCGUAGGCGGUUUGUCGCGUCUGUCGUGAAAGUCCGGGGCUUAACAACGGAUCUGCGGUGGGUACGGGCAGACUAGAGUGCAGUAGGGGAGACUGGAAUUCCUGGUGUAGCGGUGGAAUGCGCAGAUAUCAGGAGCAACACCGAUGGCGAAGGCAGGUAUCUGGGCUGUAACUGACGCUGAGGAGCGACAGCAUGGGGAGCGAUCAGGAUUAGAUACCCUGGUAGUCCAUGCCGUAAACGUUGGGCACUAGGUGUGGGGACGAUUCCACGGUUUCCGCGCCGCAGCUAACGCAUUAAGUGCCCCGCCUGGGGAGUACGGCCGCAAGGCUAGCACUCAAAGGAAUUGACGGGGGCCCGCACAAGCGGCGGAGCAUGCGGAUUAAUUCGAUGCAACGCGAAGAACCUUACCAAGGCUUGACAUGUUCACGAUCGCCGUAGAGAUACGAUUUCCCCUUUGGGGCGGGUUCACAGGUGGUGCAUGGUUGUCGUCAGCUCGUGUCGUGAGAUGUUGGGUUAAGUCCCGCAACGAGCGCAACCCUCGUUCCAUGUUGCCAGCACGUAAUGGUGGGGACUCAUGGGAGACUGCCGGGGUCAACUCGGAGGAAGGUGAGGACGACGUCAAAUCAUCAUGCCCCUUAUGUCUUGGGCUUCACGCAUGCUACAAUGGCCGGUACAAUGGGUUGCGAUACUGUGAGGUGGAGCUAAUCCCAAAAAGCCGGUCUCAGUUCGGAUUGGGGUCUGCAACUCGACCCCAUGAAGUCGGAGUCGCUAGUAAUCGCAGAUCAGCAACGCUGCGGUGAAUACGUUCCCGGGCCUUGUACACACCGCCCGUCAAGUCACGAAAGUCGGUAACACCCGAAGCCGGUGGCCUAACCCUUGUGGGA